This 282-nucleotide ribosomal RNA is filed under the name uncultured Synechococcus sp. RNAcentral describes it as "partial 16S ribosomal RNA". It matches the Rfam family "Bacterial small subunit ribosomal RNA", at positions 1254 to 1533 of the family's 1533-position model. The record is from RNAcentral. Lineage: Bacteria; Bacillati; Cyanobacteriota; Cyanophyceae; Synechococcales; Synechococcaceae.
UUCGCGAGGACANGCAAUCUCAUAAACCGUGGCUCAGUUCAGAUCGUAGGCUGCAACUCGCCUACGUGAAGGAGGAAUCGCUAGUAAUCGCAGGUCAGCAUACUGCGGUGAAUACGUUCCCGGGCCUUGUACACACCGCCCGUCACACCAUGGAAGUUGGCCACGCCCGAAGCCGUUACUCCAACCCUUGUGGAGGAGGACGUCGAAGGUGGGGCUGAUGACUGGGGUGAAGUCGUAACAAGGUAGCCGUACCGGAGGGUGCGGCUGGAUCACCUCCUAACA